RNAcentral lists this ribosomal RNA (1446 nucleotides) under uncultured bacterium. Its description in RNAcentral is "16S ribosomal RNA". It matches the Rfam family "Bacterial small subunit ribosomal RNA". The record is from RNAcentral.
UUAGAGUUUGAUCCUGGCUCAGAACGAACGCUGGCGGCAGGCUUAACACAUGCAAGUCGAACGCCCCGCAAGGGGAGUGGCAGACGGGUGAGUAACGCGUGGGAAUCUACCGUACCCUACGGAAUAACGCAUGGAAACGUGUGCUAAUACCGUAUACGCCCUUCGGGGGAAAGAUUUAUCGGGGUACGAUGAGCCCGCGUUGGAUUAGCUAGUUGGUGGGGUAAAGGCCUACCAAGGCGACGAUCCAUAGCUGGUCUGAGAGGAUGAUCAGCCACAUUGGGACUGAGACACGGCCCAAACUCCUACGGGAGGCAGCAGUGGGGAAUAUUGGACAAUGGGCCCAAGCCUGAUCCAGCCAUGCCGCGUGAGUGAUGAAGGUCAUAGGAUUGUAAAAGCUCUUUCACCGAUGAAGAUAAUGACGGUAGUCGGAGAAGAAGCCCCGGCUAACUUCGUGCCAGCAGCCGCGGUAAUACGAAGGGGGCUAGCGUUGUUCGGAAUUACUGGGCGUAAAGCGCACGUAGGCGGAUAUUUAAGUCAGGGGUGAAAUCCCGCAGCUCAACUGCGGAACUGCCUUUGAUACUGGGUAUCUCGAGUAUGGAAGAGGUGAGUGGAAUUCCGAGUGUAGAGGUGAAAUUCGUAGAUAUUCGGAGGAACACCAGUGGCGAAGGCGGCUCACUGGUCCAUUACUGACGUGAAGGUGCGAAAGCGUGGGAGCAAACAGGAUUAGAUACCUGGUAGUCCACGCCGUAAACGAUGAAUGUUAGCCGUCGGGCAGCUUGCUGUUCGGUGGCGCAGCUAACGCAUUAAACAUUCCGCCUGGGGAGUACGGUCGCAAGAUUAAACUCAAAGGAAUUGACGGGGGCCCGCACAAGCGGUGGAGCAUGUGGUUUAAUUCGAAGCAACGCGCAGAACCUUACCAGCUCUUGACAUUCGGGGUAUGGGCAGUGGAGACAUUGUCCUUCAGUUCGGCUGGCCCCAGAACAGGUGCUGCAUGGCUGUCGUCAGCUCGUGUCGUGAGAUGUUGGGUUAAGUCCCGCAACGAGCGCAACCCUCGCCCUUAGUUGCCAGCAUUCAGUUGGGCACUCUAAGGGGACUGCCGGUGAUAAGCCGAGAGGAAGGUGGGGAUGACGUCAAGUCCUCAUGGCCCUUACGGGCUGGGCUACACACGUGCUACAAUGGUGGUGACAGUGGGCAGCGAGACCGCGAGGUCGAGCUAAUCUCCAAAAGCCAUCUCAGUUCGGAUUGCACUCUGCAACUCGAGUGCAUGAAGUUGGAAUCGCUAGUAAUCGCAGAUCAGCAUGCUGCGGUGAAUACGUUCCCGGGCCUUGUACACACCGCCCGUCACACCAUGGGAGUUGGUUUUACCCGAAGGUAGUGCGCUAACCGCAAGGAGGCAGCUAACCACGGUAGGGUCAGCGACUGGGGUGAAGUCGUAACAAGGUAACC